This 99-nucleotide transfer RNA is filed under the name Burkholderia paludis. Its description in RNAcentral is "tRNA-Pro". Lineage: Bacteria; Pseudomonadati; Pseudomonadota; Betaproteobacteria; Burkholderiales; Burkholderiaceae. The record is from RNAcentral.
GUGCAGGCGGCGCGCCGGCGUGCCGGCGCGAUCGCGUGCGGUACGCGGCAGAUGGCGGACGUUUCGUCCGUUAUCCGAUCGUUUCGGAUGCCUGCGUUC